CAAGUCGAGCGGCAGCGCGGGGCAACCUGGCGGCGAGCGGCGAACGGGUGAGUAAUGCAUCGGAACAUGUCCAAGUCGUGGGGGAUAGCCCGGCGAAAGCCGGAUUAAUACCGCAUGUGCCCGAGAGGGGAAAGUGGGGGACCGCAAGGCCUCACGCGAUUGGGUUGGCCGAUGUCCGAUUAGCUAGUUGGCGGGGUAAGAGCCCACCAAGGCGAUGAUCGGUAGCUGGUCUGAGAGGAUGAUCAGCCACACUGGGACUGAGACACGGCCCAGACUCCUACGGGAGGCAGCAGUGGGGAAUUUUGGACAAUGGGGGAAACCCUGAUCCAGCCAUUCCGCGUGAGUGAAGAAGGCCUUCGGGUUGUAAAGCUCUUUUGUCCGGAGCGAAACGGUUGUGGUGAAUAUCCACGACUACUGACGGUACCGGAAGAAUAAGCACCGGCUAACUACGUGCCAGCAGCCGCGGUAAUACGUAGGGUGCGAGCGUUAAUCGGAAUUACUGGGCGUAAAGCGUGCGCAGGCGGUUUUGUAAGCCAGAUGUGAAAUCCCCGGGCUUAACCUGGGAAUGGCAUUUGGGACUGCAAGGCUGGAGUUUGGCAGAGGAGACUGGAAUUCCUGGUGUAGCAGUGAAAUGCGUAGAUAUCAGGAGGAAUACCGAUGGCGAAGGCAGGUCUCUGGGCUAUAACUGACGCUCAUGCACGAAAGCGUGGGGAGCAAACAGGAUUAGAUACCCUGGUAGUCCACGCCCUAAACGAUGUCGACUGGUUGUUGGGGGUUUGACACUCUCAGUAACGAAGCUAACGCGUGAAGUCGACCGCCUGGGGAGUACGGCCGCAAGGUUAAAACUC
RNAcentral lists this ribosomal RNA (848 nucleotides) under uncultured beta proteobacterium. RNAcentral's name for it is "bacterial SSU rRNA". It matches the Rfam family "Bacterial small subunit ribosomal RNA", at positions 58 to 902 of the family's 1533-position model. The record is from RNAcentral. Lineage: Bacteria; Pseudomonadati; Pseudomonadota; Betaproteobacteria.